AAAAAUCGGCCACUAGUGAUAUUCAAGAAAGGGCUAGCCGAUUUUGGUGAGUGUAGAAUUCUCUCAAGUCAUUCUAAGUGUUUUGAUGAUUGUGAUUCCAUUUGAGGUGUCACACUUGGGGCACUAAGCACUCAAGCUUCAUGAAGACUUUCUACAUCAAGAGGUAUGUAUUCUAUCUUGUUACAUUAUUGUUUUGUAUGCUAGAUUAGGAUAAUACCUUGGAAGUUCUUAUUUGCAUGUAUAAUAGAGAAAACAUAGAUCCAAGGUAUUUAGGGUUGCAUGUACACUUAGGAGUGUUAGAAUGCACAAAACCCAACAGUGGUAUCAGAGCCUAGGCUUGUUUUCUUGUUAUACCUGCAAUAGAAGCUGAAAAAACGAAUCUGGUGCUGUCUGGCCAUCAGACUCGGCGAGUCCAUCAGGAGACUCGACGAGUCCAUGCCUAAAAAGUGAUGAAUUCGAUCCAACUCGCCGAGUUUGUUCAUGCACUCGACGAGUUGGACCCCCAGACAGCAUAUUUUCGAGUUUUUUGGCUAGAAAUGGACUAGGAACAUUACCCUAAGUUGUUUUUGAACUUAUAAACUUGUUUUUGAUGUGGUAAUGUUCAUGCUAAUCCAUUUUCAAAGAUAAUUGUCAAUAGAUUCAUGUUUUGUAUUAGUUUAAGGUUUAGACUAAUUACAUGAAAAAGUUUGAUUUGAAUUAUCUUGUUCUUAUGAGUUGCUUAGAUUAAUAGAAAUGUUGAGUGAAAUAGUUGUUUUCAAUCCAUUUUAAUCUAAGAGUUGAGUAUAAAAUGUGUUUGUGUAACUUGUCCUCAAGUUACAUGAAGAGUCACAUUAAAGACUCAUAAAACUCAUAAAAGUUGGCAAUGGUUACAAAAUGAAGAGUCUUGUGUCAUUGAAUAAUUUUUUUUGACUCCAUAACUUGUCCUCAAGUUAUGGAAGUUCAAGAGUCACUUCAUUAAAGAAAAAUAUGUAACCAUAAUUAAAUCCAUAAGUUAUAAAAUAAAGAAAAAGUUAGUUCUUUUAUUAGUUUAAAGUCUUCCAUAACUUGUCCUCAAGUUAUGGAACUUGAAGAGUUUUUGGAUUAAAACUACUUUAAACACAUAAGUUAUGGAAUUAAUUAGUUUUGAAUAGUUUCAAAACUUGCCCUCAAGUUUUGGAAUUUGAAAAGUUUUCAAGUAUGAAUACUUUAAUUCCAAGUUAGCCCUUAGAAUUUUAAAAGUUAAAAUUCAACCCUUAUACUUUAUAAUAUUAUAAGUUAAUAAUAUAUAUAUGUAUAAGAGUAAAGUCAGUCUUACCGCUAGUACGCCUCAUUCACGAAGCCGGUCUAUAAGGUGGGUAUAAGGUUGUUGCCUAUAAAAUGGCAACUUAAUGGGUGUCCACUCUCACCCACCGCUUGCUUGACUGGUGGAGGGUCGUUAGCCGAACGGGUUUGACAGGACUAGAAUUCUCCCUUCAUUAAAAGUAUUAAUGAUAAUACUAAGUAACUAAACUCUUAAUAAUACCCAAUCUUAGUUACUUAGGAAAAAUGUGAAUAAGGUGCUAAUCCAUGAAAUUACACUUUACACUUUGUCUAAGUCGUUAGUGGAGCGUGUGUGGUUAACCGGCACACUAACUUGGACUUAACAAGGUAGGUAAAGGGUGACUUAAUAUUUAUCAUAGUAUCGAUGGAGCGUGUGUGGUUAACCGGCACAUCGAUUGAGGGGUAAUUUAUUAAGGGUACCAAGUGAUUUGCAUGGUUACUUCACACCUUGUUUUGUGAUCCUCGGCAUCCCAGUCACAAAACCUGAAGGGCACACUCGAGAUUGAAACAUGCCUUUGAAAAGUUCAAUGAAUCUCAAAGAUCUAGGAGUUUCAAAACCAAUUAAAACCUAAUAAUACAUUUCGUUUAUCUUGGUGGAAAUUGGUGAAUCGUCAUUCACCUACCUUCAAAUAUUUUAUAGCUUGGAUUACGGCAUACCUCUUCUAAGUUAUAAAAUAGUUUGUUGGGUCCUAGCCUUAAUAUUUCAUAUUGGGUGUCAUAUUAAGGACUUUAAAUCAACUAUCUUGAAUAUCUCCCAAAAGAUGUCUGGUUUAGACACCUAUGAUCUUCCCAAAUCUCUUGAAACAAGGUUUCCUAAUGAAGAUGAUGUCCCAUGGAUAUCAUACUUCUUCACCUCUUCAAAUUAUUCUCCCUAACCCACAAGUUCUUGAAAAGUUUAAGGUCACUCAGGCCCUAUUGGCAAGGCAAGGUCUAGGUGUGGUCACAUCUUGGAGAUGUAGUCACAUAUUGACAAGCCGGGAGAGUUGGGUGUCAAAGUCUUGAGAAAGUUGGUGGUUCAACCACUUUCUAAGUCACAUAGUGAGUUCCUUUGGGACACCUAUGAAACAGACUAUGACAAGACCCUUAAUGAUCUUAUCUAUUUGCUAAGAUCAACUUCCUAAAACUUUAUGGACAUUGACAAUGAUGACAUUGGAUAUCCAGUAAAGCAUUCUCUUCCCAAUGGAAAGGGAUCGGCCAUAGUCAACUCGGUUGACCAAAUGGUAAAGAGAAAAGCUAAGUCUGUGAUAGUCCCGUGUACCAUUAUCAAAGGGUCCAUAUGUUUAUAUUGCCAAAGGAAGGGGCAUUGGUUGCGAAGCUGCCAAAUUUACCUAAGGAUGUUAAAGUCAAUAAGUUUGACUCUACUUCAGGUAAAGUCCACUAUCUAACUCUGUUAAGUUUCUAUUCUGAGAUUCUUGAUACAUGAUGUGACUGGGUCACAUGGUGAUGUUUUAAGAAUCAAAGAAAAGUGAAGAAACUUAAAGAAAGAAUAUGCUGAAUCUGAUGGCGUAGAUGGAUUUCUAUCGCAUAGUUUGAAGAUCGGAUUCUUGAGCUACUUCUUAGGAGUUAUGAGAUAUUGCUUAGGAAUAGAUAACAACAAGUUUUCAUAUGGAUUGUAAGGAUAAGUUUUUCCGCAAAGUUUUAAAAUAAAAGAAAAUUUUUUAUAUUUUAUUUAUUUUAAAAUAUCCUUACAAUGGCAUUUGAGGAAAAAUUGUUGCUUAUAUGAUUCCAUUAAGAGCAAGAGUGGAAAUAUGAAAUUGAUUCUUUCAUUUGUGGUAAUGUCUAAAUUUACCAAAUAAGGAAAGAUUCUCAUCACCCAAGUUUCAAUUGGACCGGAACUUGGAAUCAUGCAAGUUGUAUAGCAUGAUGAAUGAGAACUUUCAAGUUUUGGAAAAUUAAGACUAAUUACUUGUUCACAUGGAUGUGUGAGUCAAGUAAAGGACUUAGGGAUCGAGUACACAUUCUUGUGCACUGAUUAAGUCCACCACUAAAGAUCGAUAAGAAGAAUCAAAUAAGGCAGAAGGAUAAAAGUUUCUCAAAUCUGAAAAGAUGGGAGAGUACUUUAGUAUCAGUUUUGUGAUCAUCUUAAUGAUUAAGAAACCAUAUCAAAAUUAGUUCUCUAAGGAAAUCUUAGUGCAUUCUUAUGACUAAGAAGAGGAACUUGAAUUGUUGAAAUGGUUAAAUCAAGAAGAUGAGUCAUACUUCGUUCCAAUACAAGUCUUAGAGUCAUACUCCAAGAUUGUCAUUUGAGUGACAUGUCUUAAAGAAGGUUUAAAACACUUGUCAAAUGUAAGAGUAAAAGUUUUCUACUCUUGUACAUUUGAAAUUGGUAAGUUGUGAUGUUUUGGAUAAAACAAAGACCAACUUAGGCCAAUUGGGUAAAGUGUUUUUCUUGAUUAGAAUCCGCACUAUCUCUUGGAUGUUUGACAAGGGAGUCUUAUAUGUCAAGAGGACAGUGGGAGUCUUAAAGGUCUUGAAAGUCUCAAGAAAUAAUCAAGAAUAAAACCUAAAGUUCUUCACUAGCACACGACUUGAGGUUUAUAACCUAUCGUGUUGACAUAUCUGUGCCCAUUCCAGUUAAAGUUGGCUUUGCAUAUGAGUUCUUAGAGUUCUCAGUUUGUUGCAUAACAACUUGGAAGCAAUGGCAGGCCCUUGAGCUGCCAGGUGGCAAGAAGUUAAGAUUGAGUUCAAUCCAUAUGGUUUUGGAUUUGUCAUUAUCUUUGUCUUGUGAUUAUGGUUUGACAAAUUCAUAUGGGUAGGAACUCAUACACCAUAUAAAUCUAAGUGUCAUAAGGUUUCUCUCCGAUUCAUGAAAAUGAUGGUGAGGAAACGCUUUCACUAAGUAGAUUUUACGAAGAUAUCAAUUGUGUUAUUUGCAUUUUCAAAAGUCGUUAGUGGAGCGCGUGUGGUUAACCGGCACACUAACAUGGACUUGUGAGAAAUGGCAAAUGCCUAAGCAAUUGAGACCAUGAUUACGGUAUCCCUUUUCAUGGUUCUUGAAAUUGCUUAGACACACAGGUGAGCUAUCUACGGAAAGGGUGUAUGAAUCUAAAUUUCAGACUGUCCAGCUGAUUUCUGAGUACAUGUCAAAGCUAGUGGGAGCAUAAGUGUUAUGCUAAUAAUCAUCAUGUUAGUGGGAGCAUGAUAAUUAUGAUAAGUAUUGCAAGUUAGCAAUGUUAAUUAUAGAAAACAAAAGUUUCAAUUGGGAAAAAGUUGUUUUGCUAUAAUUAAGGGAGAGGAAAUUAUGCUUCAUCUCAAAUCUAUAAGCUUAGAUCGUGAGGUUUUAAUCAUUUAGUCAAGGAUAUAUAUGAAUUUCAUGUUGGAAUGGCUCAACAUAAGGAAAUUCUGUAUAUGGGUCCAUUAUUUGCGUUCUAAAAUUCGAUUAUGAUUACGGCAUCCCUUUUCAUAAUCUGAAUUAUGAGAACUUGGCAAAUUGAAAUGGAAAUAUUAUAGCAAAAGACUGGUUUAGUCUUUAUGUAAGACAUCAUGAAUCGUGUCCCAUAUGCUUCGGAUAUAGGAUCGAUUACAUGUGCUAUAUUCAUCCGUUCUAAAAUUUUCCAAAUGCCUGGGGCAUUAAGAAGGGAAAAGGUUUAGAACUGGAUAUGACUAAAAGGAUUAAACAAUUGUCGAGGACAAUCUAAGGUUUACCAAAGAUUGGUUACUCAAGGACAAUUGGAAGUAUAGUGAUAAUUCUGGAAGGACCAUAUUGACAUAAUCUGUAAGGAGGCAACUCUUGUUCAGAAGUGAUAGUCAAAAUGGAAUCUGGAAAUGUUUCAAAGUUAGAAUUUUCAAUCUGUGUAAGAUUAAGGAAACUUAAUGCAAGAAGGAUAUUUCCAAGGAGUUGAUCUCCUUUGGAAUACUCUGUAAUGAUUGUUGCCAAGUCUUUGUGACUUUGUGCAUAAUCAUUACAAGAGGAUCAAUGCAUAUAAGUUUAGAAUCUAACAGAUUUCAGUAAAUGGCAUGAAUUUGGAAUUCUUGCAUUUGCAGUAAGGAUUUGGGAGUGUGAAAAGAGAAUCAUUGAAGUUAUGUUCAAUUGAUCUAGUUCACAAAGUAAAGAUCAUAGACAAACAUAGUAUGCAUACUUGGUGUGUGGCAUGACUAGUGUUUAAGAAAACAUAGUGUACAUGCUUGGAGCAUGGGACAACUAUUGUUUUAAAUUCAAGAAUAAAGUUGAUAGCUGAAACAGUAUACAAUGAAUAAUGUGUAAUCAUAUGGUGAUAAAUAAAAGGUGUUUUAUUUAUGUUCAAAGGGUUGAUACCAUAUUGGAUUCAAUUAUUAUUGUGUUUCAUUUUGCAUGUUUUGACUUCCCGAAUAAACUGGGUUAUUCUUCCGGAAUGACUAAGUUAUUCAAACCAUCCACAGUCGGUCAUAUGUUGGAAGUAGAUAUGAAUUAAGACUGUCAUGGGUUGGCUUGUAGAGGUCUAAGGUGUUGGACAAAGGGCUACAACACUCAUGAGUGCUCAUAAGUUCUGAGUAUUGGAUUCAACCCGCGCUCAUUGGAAUCACUUCAUGGAUUUUAUCACGAGUGAUCAUGAGACGAUAAUAUCUUAUAUUCUUCAAACCUAGAGAUAUGAGUUGUUACUAUGAGUUGAUAGUACAUUGAUUGCACGAAAACGCAUUUGGUAACUCGGUGCUAUAAAACGUGCCUUUGUGUAUGAUUCAACAAGUAGUAGAACAAGCCAUAUGAGUCGAAGUUUAUCCAUUCCUUUUACCUUCGGGAUAAAAGCGAUAUCUGUGGGCCCCUCGAUGAUUUGAUGAUGACAAAUGGAAGUGCUCGGCCGGGCCAGGACUGAUUUGAUUUGUUCAAUUAGUCAGUCGUCAUAAAUCGGAAAUCGGGAAACAACAAAUGGACAGAGAGAAUGAUUAUAAUCCAUGUCUCAGUCCAUAUGAUAUCUAGAAUGGAGGAAUAUAUGAUCCCUUAUCUAAUGGACAAGUCAUUGACAAAGGUCAGAGUUCAUCUACAAGGUCAGAGUUCGACAGAAGCUUUUGAGAGCUACGAUUGCCAGUUGGUUCCUGAAGUCAUACGCAAUAAUAGUUUUAGACUUAUCCAAGUGGGAGACUGUUGGAUUAAUGUCUAAGUCCAUAACUAUAAUUGGUAAGACUUGACCCGACCCGGCAUGGUCCAUUUGGGUUGCAUACCAUCAUGCACUUGGAUAGACUAUAAUGAGAGAAAUAAGACACUUAUGGUUAUUAAUAUAUUAUAAGUUCUAGUAUAUUAAUAAUAAGAAUAAUAAGAUUAUUUAAUUAGUAUUGAUCAAGAAUUAAUAUAGGAUUAAUUAAGUGAUCAAAAGAAGACUAAUUAAAUAUAUGGGUUGAUUGUGUAAAUCAUCCAUACUUGUAUAGUGGGCUAAUGCUCCAUGGAUAAUCAAGUUGGGCUAAAACCCAUAGGAUGGUCCAUGGAUGCUCCAUGGUGUAUUUGUACCCAUGGAUCAUGGAAAUGAAAGGCCAUGUCAAUUAGGGUUUACAUGGUGUAACCCUAACUAUAUAAGCAUCUUAUUCUUGACCAAAAUCGGCCACUAGAGUGUGAAGUAAAAGGGCUAGCCGAUUUCAUGAGUUGUAGAAUUCUCUCAAGAUAUUCUAAGUGUUUUGAUGAUUGUGAUUCCAUUUGAGGUGUCACACUUGGGGCACUAGGCACUCUAGCUUCAUGAAGACUUUCUUCUCCAAAGAGGUAUGUAUUCUAUCUUGCUAUAGUCAUUGUUUUGUAUGCUAGAUUAGGAUAAUACCUUGGAAGUUCUUAUUUGCAUGUGUAAUAGAG
Molecule: long non-coding RNA, 7051 nt
Filed under: Lactuca sativa (garden lettuce)
Lineage: Eukaryota; Viridiplantae; Streptophyta; Magnoliopsida; Asterales; Asteraceae
Description: long non-coding RNA (LSAT_LNC009304)
Source: RNAcentral